Long non-coding RNA from Oryzias latipes (Japanese medaka), 571 nucleotides. RefSeq lists it as uncharacterized. The record is from RefSeq and is a predicted model, not a curated record. Lineage: Eukaryota; Metazoa; Chordata; Actinopteri; Beloniformes; Adrianichthyidae.
GACAGCAGGUUUUGCUGUCUGCUUUUGGUGCAAGUAGGAGAAACUCUAGUUAGACUCUUGGAGGGUUUACUAGGAUAAAAGGUUAAAAGAACCUGCAAAUUUUUCAUUGGCUAUCUUCUUGGGUCCAAUAAACGUGUAUCAUCUCACUGCCUUCCAGGAGGCGUUUAGUUCCAUCAAGAGGAAACUUGCUGGAGGGUGAGAAGAUAUGGAAGGACAAGCUCAAACCUCACCAGCUGGCUGUCAACGCUCUGUAACACCUCUUCAUGUCUGCCCCUGUCAGGACCUGCACACCGGAGGGUCUGAGGCUGUCACUGCGGAGAUGCUUUCAACAAUUUCUUCUUUACAGACCAAAUUUCCUCAAGGAAUGGGACUCGAGGGGAGAUAAAAUGUUAAUGAUCACUGAGGAGAGAUGUCAUAAAAGUAACGAUCCUUGCUUUAGUGUGGAUUCAAGUGAUCGGUGUAAAACGAUUUUAAAGUUUUGCAGGAUUUUCUGCUCCUUUUUCUGUUUUUUAUGCAAACAUUAAGCUAAAUUACAGUUUGUGUAAAAUGACUUAAACACCCAUGUUUUUAA